Molecule: ribosomal RNA, 1326 nt
Filed under: Bacillaceae bacterium 11_Ne_13
Lineage: Bacteria; Bacillati; Bacillota; Bacilli; Caryophanales; Bacillaceae
Description: bacterial SSU rRNA
Rfam family: Bacterial small subunit ribosomal RNA
Source: RNAcentral
GAGCUUGCUCCCGGAUGUUAGCGGCGGACGGGUGAGUAACACGUGGGUAACCUGCCUGUAAGACUGGGAUAACUCCGGGAAACCGGAGCUAAUACCGGAUAGUUCCUUGAACCGCAUGGUUCAAGGAUGAAAGACGGUUUCGGCUGUCACUUACAGAUGGACCCGCGGCGCAUUAGCUAGUUGGUGGGGUAAUGGCUCACCAAGGCGACGAUGCGUAGCCGACCUGAGAGGGUGAUCGGCCACACUGGGACUGAGACACGGCCCAGACUCCUACGGGAGGCAGCAGUAGGGAAUCUUCCGCAAUGGACGAAAGUCUGACGGAGCAACGCCGCGUGAGUGAUGAAGGUUUUCGGAUCGUAAAGCUCUGUUGUUAGGGAAGAACAAGUGCGAGAGUAACUGCUCGCACCUUGACGGUACCUAACCAGAAAGCCACGGCUAACUACGUGCCAGCAGCCGCGGUAAUACGUAGGUGGCAAGCGUUGUCCGGAAUUAUUGGGCGUAAAGGGCUCGCAGGCGGUUUCUUAAGUCUGAUGUGAAAGCCCCCGGCUCAACCGGGGAGGGUCAUUGGAAACUGGGAAACUUGAGUGCAGAAGAGGAGAGUGGAAUUCCACGUGUAGCGGUGAAAUGCGUAGAGAUGUGGAGGAACACCAGUGGCGAAGGCGACUCUCUGGUCUGUAACUGACGCUGAGGAGCGAAAGCGUGGGGAGCGAACAGGAUUAGAUACCCUGGUAGUCCACGCCGUAAACGAUGAGUGCUAAGUGUUAGGGGGUUUCCGCCCCUUUAGUGCUGCAGCUAACGCAUUAAGCACUCCGCCUGGGGAGUACGGUCGCAAGACUGAAACUCAAAGGAAUUGACGGGGGCCCGCACAAGCGGUGGAGCAUGUGGUUUAAUUCGAAGCAACGCGAAGAACCUUACCAGGUCUUGACAUCCUCUGACAACCCUAGAGAUAGGGCUUUCCCUUCGGGGACAGAGUGACAGGUGGUGCAUGGUUGUCGUCAGCUCGUGUCGUGAGAUGUUGGGUUAAGUCCCGCAACGAGCGCAACCCUUGAUCUUAGUUGCCAGCAUUUAGUUGGGCACUCUAAGGUGACUGCCGGUGACAAACCGGAGGAAGGUGGGGAUGACGUCAAAUCAUCAUGCCCCUUAUGACCUGGGCUACACACGUGCUACAAUGGACAGAACAAAGGGCUGCGAGACCGCAAGGUUUAGCCAAUCCCAUAAAUCUGUUCUCAGUUCGGAUCGCAGUCUGCAACUCGACUGCGUGAAGCUGGAAUCGCUAGUAAUCGCGGAUCAGCUUGCCGCGGUGAAUACGUUCCCGUGCCUUGUACA